Molecule: long non-coding RNA, 333 nt
Organism: Helianthus annuus (common sunflower)
Lineage: Eukaryota; Viridiplantae; Streptophyta; Magnoliopsida; Asterales; Asteraceae
Exons: 2
Source: RefSeq, a predicted model, not a curated record
AACACACACCUUUGUGUGUGUUCUGGUCCUACAAAACACAGGAGCCAAGAAGGGCUCUCAAGCUCAAACCCUAACAAGCAUAAAAUCAACAAAUUGAAGGGGUAAAUCCAACCUAAAUCGAAAUCCAAGCACGAAUUCAUGAUCACCUCGAUGAAGGGAUCAUAAGGUGAAGACGGACCUAAUCCGGAUGAAGAUCAAGCGGCGAGCAAGAACCGAACACACGUUAAAUGAAGCUUCCGCGUCAAAUCUUGAUUUGUGUUGAUAUAAGUGAAUUAUGUAAACACUUAUAAAUUGUUUUUGAAAUGUUGUAAUCAUUUGGGAAUGUUGGUAUAA